GAUGAACGCUGGCGGCGUGCCUAAUACAUGCAAGUCGAGCGACCGCACGAUAAGCUCGUUCCCCUGCUGUUAGCGACGGACGGGUGAGUAACACGUGGAUCACCUACUUCUUAUUCUGGGAGGACUACGGGGAAACGCAGCCACUAAUGGCUCAUACUUUGAACGGCUUGAAUCAAAAGUGCAUGACGCUUUUGCUGUCUCAUAUAGCUGGUUCCGGGCUGCAUUAGCUAGUUGGUAAGGUAACGGCUUACCAAGGCAACGAUGCAUAGCCGACCUGAGAGGGUGAUCGGCCACACUGGAACUGAGACACGGUCCAGACUCCUACGGGAGGCAGCAGUAGGGAAUCUUCCGCAAUGGGCGAAAGCCUGACGGAGCAAUGCCGCGUGAGUGAUGAAGGUCUUCGGGUCGUAAAACUCUGUUAUUAGGGAAGAACAGAUGUGUAAGAAACUGUGCACGUCUUGACGGUACCUAAAGAGAAAGCAACGGCUAACUACGUG
RNAcentral lists this ribosomal RNA (497 nucleotides) under uncultured bacterium. RNAcentral's name for it is "partial 16S ribosomal RNA". It matches the Rfam family "Bacterial small subunit ribosomal RNA", at positions 28 to 507 of the family's 1533-position model. The record is from RNAcentral.